This 400-nucleotide ribosomal RNA is filed under the name uncultured bacterium. RNAcentral's name for it is "bacterial SSU rRNA". It matches the Rfam family "Bacterial small subunit ribosomal RNA", at positions 355 to 769 of the family's 1533-position model. The record is from RNAcentral.
UGAGGAAUUUUCCGCAAUGGGCGAAAGCCUGACGGAGCAAUACCGCGUGAAGGAAGAAGGCCCGAGGGUUGUAAACUUCCUUUCUCAGAGAAGAAGAUCUGACGGUAUCUGAGGAAUAAGCACCGGCUAACUCUGUGCCAGCAGCCGCGGUAAUACAGAGGGUGCGAGCGUUAUCCGGAAUGAUUGGGCGUAAAGCGUCUGUAGGUGGUUUUUGAAGUCUACUGUUAAAUCCCAGGGCUCAACCUUGGACAGGCAGUAGAGGACUCAAAGGCUAGAGUGCGGUAGGGGUAGAGGGAAUUCCCGGUGGAGCAGUGAAAUGCACAGAGAUCGGGAAGAACACCAGUGGCGAAGGCGCUCUACUGGGCCGAGACUGACACUGAGAGACGACAGCUAGGGGAGC